ACGCUCGACACCUACGGGGGGCAGCAGUGGGGAAUAUUGCACAAUGGGGGAAACCCUGAUGCAGCAACGCCGCGUGAAGGAAGACGGUUUUCGGAUUGUAAACUUCUGUUCUUAGUGAAGAUAGUGACGGUAGCUAAGGAGCAAGCCACGGCUAACUACGUGCCAGCAGCAGCGGUAAUCUGAGCGGGCUGGCAAGGC
RNAcentral lists this ribosomal RNA (198 nucleotides) under uncultured bacterium. RNAcentral describes it as "partial 16S ribosomal RNA". It matches the Rfam family "Bacterial small subunit ribosomal RNA", at positions 328 to 539 of the family's 1533-position model. The record is from RNAcentral.